This 154-nucleotide non-coding RNA is filed under the name Perkinsus chesapeaki. Lineage: Eukaryota; Perkinsozoa; Perkinsida; Perkinsidae. The record is from RNAcentral.
AUAAGAAGACGGGAAAUAAAUACGUUGGCCAUUGAAUAGGCUGAUAUUCCUUUGGACCAGCUUCGCUUCUUCUUUUUCUUCUUUUUCUUCUUGUUUUGGCUCCUUAUUUCCGAAAUUAGAAGCAGAUAGAGUAAGAUAAGAGAGAAGGUAGAUU